This 106-nucleotide non-coding RNA is filed under the name Sediminibacillus halophilus. RNAcentral's name for it is "SAM-I sequence". It matches the Rfam family "SAM riboswitch aptamer (S box leader)". Rfam says of the family: The SAM riboswitch is found upstream of a number of genes which code for proteins involved in methionine or cysteine biosynthesis in Gram-positive bacteria. The record is from RNAcentral. Lineage: Bacteria; Bacillati; Bacillota; Bacilli; Caryophanales; Bacillaceae.
CUCUUAUCCAGAGACGGCGGAGGGACAGGCCCGAAGAAACCCGGCAACCAUCAUGUAGAUGAAAAGGUGCCAACCUGAUGCAAGGUUUUACCUUGGACGAUAAGAU